This is a non-coding RNA of Rattus norvegicus (Norway rat), 69 nucleotides long. NCBI's taxonomy places the organism in Eukaryota, Metazoa, Chordata, Mammalia, Rodentia, Muridae. The record is from Rfam.
GGGGAUUUAGCUCAGUGGUAGAGUGCUUGCCUAUGAAGCGCAAGGCCCUGGGUUCGGUCCCCAGCUCCA